This is a long non-coding RNA of Drosophila nasuta, 534 nucleotides long. RefSeq lists it as uncharacterized. Lineage: Eukaryota; Metazoa; Arthropoda; Insecta; Diptera; Drosophilidae. The record is from RefSeq and is a predicted model, not a curated record. The transcript is spliced from 3 exons.
AGUUGUAAAAUAUUUGGUGAAACACGUUAAUAUAUGUAGAAGGCAGGAAUCUAACUACGUUAACAUUGAGAUAUUUGUUGGAAAAAACAUUUGCAUAUUUAUAACCAGACCGCAAUUUGCAUAAUGGAAUUUAAUUAAUUUCAACUGAUAGACGAUGGUACGAACCAUAUUUGGCAUGUCGGAAAUAUCCACAUACGAAUAAAAUUUACAGACAAAAGUUUCCCGUAUCAGAUAUGAUUUGCUUUCAGGGGCCAAAAACCCGAAUGUUCAAUAUGGAAAUAUGCUGUGUGACCACCUUGUACUACAAAAUUGGUAGAAAGCAAAUUACAUAAAUAUCAAAAAGAAGAAAAAUAUGAAAAAAGUCCAUUUGCAUAAAAACACACAGGAAACGAACCCAUAAAAUAUAGUUGCCAUAUCAGAAGCAAAAGGAAACAAUCCAUGUUAAUGCCAGCAAUAUUCCAUUUGAAAGAGUUUUCAAAAUGCCAAACAAAAACAAAUUUUGCCCUAUUAAUGUGCGCAUAAAAACUAUUUUUA